RNAcentral lists this ribosomal RNA (531 nucleotides) under uncultured Gammaproteobacteria bacterium. RNAcentral describes it as "bacterial SSU rRNA". It matches the Rfam family "Bacterial small subunit ribosomal RNA", at positions 363 to 884 of the family's 1533-position model. The record is from RNAcentral. Lineage: Bacteria; Pseudomonadati; Pseudomonadota; Gammaproteobacteria.
AUUGGACAAUGGGCGCAAGCCUGAUCCAGCCAUACCGCGUGGGUGAAGAAGGCCUUCGGGUUGUAAAGCCCUUUUGUUGGGAAAGAAAUCCAGCCGGCUAAUACCUGGUUGGGAUGACGGUACCCAAAGAAUAAGCACCGGCUAACUUCGUGCCAGCAGCCGCGGUAAUACGAAGGGUGCAAGCGUUACUCGGAAUUACUGGGCGUAAAGCGUGCGUAGGUGGUUGUUUAAGUCUGUUGUGAAAGCCCUGGGCUCAACCUGGGAACUGCAGUGGAAACUGGACAACUAGAGUGUGGUAGAGGGUAGCGGAAUUCCCGGUGUAGCAGUGAAAUGCGUAGAGAUCGGGAGGAACAUCCAUGGCGAAGGCAGCUACCUGGACCAACACUGACACUGAGGCACGAAAGCGUGGGGAGCAAACAGGAUUAGAUACCCUGGUAGUCCACGCCCUAAACGAUGCGAACUGGAUGUUGGGUGCAAUUUGGCACGCAGUAUCGAAGCUAACGCGUUAAGUUCGCCGCCUGGGGAGGUACG